ACGGGUGAGUAACGCGUAAACAACCUGCCCUACGGAUGGGGACAACAGCUGGAAACGGCUGCUAAUACCGAAUACGUUCCGAAAGUCUCAUGACUAUCGGAAGAAAGGAUGGCCUCUAUUUAUAAGCUAUCGCCGGAGGAGGGGUUUGCGUCUGAUUAGCUAGUUGGAGGGGUAACGGCCCACCAAGGCGACGAUCAGUAACCGGUCUGAGAGGAUGAACGGCCACAUUGGAACUGAGACACAGUCCAGACUCCUACGGGAGGCAUCAGUGGGGAAUCUUCCGCAAUGGGCGAAAGCCUGACGGAGCAACGCCUCGUGAGUGAAGACGGCCUUCGGGUUGUAAAGCUCUGUUAUACGGGACGGAUAAUCUUGUGGUUAAUACCCAUAAAAAGUGACGGUACCGUAAGAGAAAGCCACGGGUAACUACGUGCCAGCAGCCGCGGUAAUACGUACGUGGCAAGCGUUGUCCGGAAUUAUUGUGCGUAGAGGGCGCGCAUGCGGCUUCUUAAGUCUGUCUUAGAAGUGCGAGGCUUAACCGCGUGAUGGAAUGGAAACUGGGAAGCUCAGAGUAUCGAAGAGGAAAGCGGAAUUCCUAGUGUAGCGGGAAAUGCGUAGAUAUUACGAGGAACACCAAUGGCGAAAGCGGCUUUCUGGACCAAAACUGACGCUGAUGCGCGAAAGCCAGUGGGAGCGAACGGCAUUACAU
RNAcentral lists this ribosomal RNA (706 nucleotides) under uncultured bacterium. Its description in RNAcentral is "bacterial SSU rRNA". It matches the Rfam family "Bacterial small subunit ribosomal RNA", at positions 102 to 783 of the family's 1533-position model. The record is from RNAcentral.